Molecule: ribosomal RNA, 467 nt
Filed under: uncultured bacterium
Lineage: Bacteria
Description: partial 16S ribosomal RNA
Rfam family: Bacterial small subunit ribosomal RNA
Source: RNAcentral
GACGAACGCUGGCGGCGUGCUUAACACAUGCAAGUCGAACGGAAAGGCCCUGCUUUUGUGGGGUGCUCGAGUGGCGAACGGGUGAGUAACACGUGAGUAACCUGCCCUUGACUUUGGGAUAACUUCAGGAAACUGGGGCUAAUACCGGAUAGGAGCUCCUGCUGCAUGGUGGGGGUUGGAAAGUUUCGGCGGUUGGGGAUGGACUCGCGGCUUAUCAGCUUGUUGGUGGGGUAGUGGCUUACCAAGGCUUUGACGGGUAGCCGGCCUGGGGGGGUGACCGGCAAAGUGGGGACGGAGAGAGGGCCCAGACCCCUAGGGGGGGGAGAGGGGGGGAAAUUUCAACAAGGGGGGGGGCCCGGAGGCAGCAACCCCCGGGGGGGGAGGGCGGCCUUGGGGUGGAAAACCGUUUUCCCCUGGGAGGAAGGGGGGGGAACGGUAAUGGGAAAAGAAGCACCGGCUAACUACGG